Long non-coding RNA from Osmia lignaria (orchard mason bee), 6590 nucleotides. RefSeq lists it as uncharacterized. NCBI's taxonomy places the organism in Eukaryota, Metazoa, Arthropoda, Insecta, Hymenoptera, Megachilidae. The record is from RefSeq and is a predicted model, not a curated record.
CUUUCUCGACGUUUGUCGCUAUAUCUUUGAUCCCAAGACAGCGUUUUUUUUCAUCUCAUCUCUCAAGUGGCAAAUAUUCUCAGUGUUUCUACAAAACUAUAAUAUUUAUCAACUGGUUCCACUGAUUCAGCGUGAGCGCGCGUAUGUGAAUGUGAAACGAUUCCGACGGCAUUAGUUUACGUGCAGUUUUCGUAUUUAUCGACUCUGCAUGAAACUCGAGCGAAAUUCUAAAUUAUCGUGUAUACGGAGAUUUAGAAAACCUUGAAAACGAAGCGGAAGUCUGAUCGAUAAUAAUCUCAAGAUCCGUGAAACGGUAUCAAUCUAUGGUAAAGACUUUCGAGGCAUAAGGAAGGUUAAAUACGUGUAUACAGUGCGACUGGUGCGGCAACGUUUUGAAAUUAAUCAGAGGCAAUCGUUGCCGCGAAAAUGUUUCUGCGUAGAACAUGUUCGACUAACAUACAUGGUCAGUGCAAUUCUUGUCUCGUGACUGAAGAUUUUAAGCAUCGCUCGGACCAUCGUCGUACACGUGCACGAUUGAUCGGAAAUUGUUAGCGCAACAGCCGAUAGAAAGAAGCGUGUUUCAUAUCCCGGACAAAAGCACAAGAAGCUCUCCCCUGGACCGAGAAACGUACGAGGCAUGAUCGUCCUUGGUCCUGGCUUAAAUCGUAUUUCAAUAUCUAAAAAAUAGUGUCGACUGUCCGUUAAUAUCGUUAAUAAUUACCACCUCUUUUUUCAUUUUUUUUUUUUUUUUUUGUAUUUUUUUCUCUCUUUGCGUUCAAGUACACUACGGCGACGAUCUAACGUUAGUUUGUAUUCGCGAGUUCAGUUCUGCGGCUUGCGAUACCGUUUCUCCCCCGGCUCGUUCAAUGAAUUCCACGCGUUAUCGUGUCUUUUCUCUGUCGAGAAAAGCGUCGAGGAAAUCGCGUCGGCAAGCCCCGAAGCUGCGCUAUUCAUUUCGAGAACAUCUUUGAAACGGCGAAACAUUCGUCGACAACGGCAACGAACCGAAAGCCUUUCGCCAUACGAGGCGAGCCGACGAUCGUCGUCGAAAUUUCACUCUGUCACGCGACCAACAAAAUAUGUAUAUACGAAAUAGAGUAAAAUUUAACGUACUAAGAGAGGAGGUGAAUUUUCGAUCUCCUCUAUCGAGCGACGGAGCAAGAGCUCUAGAGAGAAUUAUCCGUUUCUGUGAUAAUUGAUGAAGUUGAAAAUCUAUGUCGACGAUGAUUAAAAAGUUUCCCAGCACUGCGGUUCGUUGCCGCAACGCGGAACGAUUCGCCUUGAGAUAACGUUACAGUUCAUUAUCCUUUGUUUUUAUUAUUGACUAUCGUUACGAGGUUAACUCUAAUUAAUUAGAGAUUCGAUUGACUGUCGAGUAUCGUAAUACAGCGUGAAGACGAGACUGUUUUUUUUUUUUUAACUGUGGAUAAUAAUAAUUCGUUAAAGGGUGCGACGAAAUUGCGUACGACCUACUUUAACCAGGUCGAUUCUUGUUUCAACGAAUCAGGACAAGAAAUACUGCUAAUGUCCCGUAGAAACGAACGCACAGAACGAUAUCAGGAUAACGCUGUUCCCUUUUUCUUGAUUUUUUAUUUCAUUAGAGCUCAGUCAGAACCAGACUCGCUUAACUCGUACGAAUGAAAACGAUCACGAAAAAAUAUAAAUGUAACGAUCGCCAUGACUAGGAACCUUACGCUUAAAUGCUAAAUCAUUUAAUAAGAACGUGAAAAAAUAACGGGAUUUAUGUACAAGUCAACAGCCACGAGGUUUAAUAAUCUAAGUCUUAUUAGAAAGCGUUAGGCAAGUCUAUUUCUGACUUUAAAACUUAUUUAUUAAGCAACGCGCAGGUGAUUCAGAACGAUAGCCUGUUUAAUAUAUCUUCUUCUGAAUCACUCGCGGGUUGAUCUAUGCAUUUUACAACUUAAACACCGUUAAAGCUCUCCGGUUCGCGCCCUUUGAAUUACUCUACGCGAAUAAACCGAUUUACACGCAAUUCAUUCGUCAACCCUAUUUCGUCUCUAAUCGCUGAAAAUGUCUCGUACCAAAAUAUCUCUACGUGAUAUAAAAAACGCGGUUUUUCACGAUGAAAGCAACACACGGACGAACGAAAUGAAAAUUUCCACCCUGACUAUAUACGCCUGCCCCUUUAUCGUAGGGCAACCUAAGAUAAAACGAUACAUUUCAAGCGUAGCUCGCUGACUAGAGGGUAAGUCUCUUCAUCUUCUUCUUCUUCUCCUCCUCCUCAGUUUAUUUUUCUUUUUGGUUUUCCAUUGACCAGACAAUUUAAUUUUAUUUUAUUUCAUUGCUCGGCAUUCCUCUUGUUCCUUCCGUUUUUCAAGUCGUGCCUUACUCGACGAGGAAAUACUAAAUUAAUAUCACAUGGACAAUUUGGAGUCUUCAAGUACUUUGGAUAUAAUUAAACGAGUAGAUUAAAUAGACUAGAAGGAAAUAACGUGUUACGACUAGGAUAGCGAUUGAAAGAGCAUAUGGACUAGAAAUCAUCGGAACGAAGAUGGUCUAACGUUUACAUUCGACGAUUGAAAGCGACGGAAUCGCGAUUCAGUUCGCGUAUUUAACAAUGAGGAAAUUACAGGAGGACGUUCUAUAAUUCAGGGAAGCAGAACGAGCGACCCUUUUGCCACCGAAUGGUCAUUCCUGCAUUCAACAGGUGGUCCAGUUCACGUGAAAUGUUGAUGAAAACCUUCGACGUGUGCCCUCUGCCCCUCUCUACCUGCAUUGUACGCCGACGGCGUCGAUAGAACUUUCGGAAAAACGACUCUUCCCAGACGUCUCGAGGAAAUUUCUAAUUUGGGAGAAAAGUUUUCGCCUAACCGUCCACCACGAAUCGGCCAUUUUCCAUACAGAAUAUUAGAACGAAACAUUUAAGUAGCAUUUUAUGAUACGUUUAUCUCACGAAAUUCAGGUACGCUGUUUACCCUAAAAUCCAGGUAAAUGAUCAAAUAAAAUAUCUUAAAUCAAUUAAUCGAAUAAAGUACAAAGUGUUUGCUGUUCCAGGUAAAGAGAAUAGACACAGGUUUCUUACAAAACGAAGAAGACAAGAUAAAAGGAUGAUCGUGGCCAAGUUUGUCCAAAGUUUCGAGUAUCGAAGAGGAUAAAGUAGUUAACGAUAAAAGCUUGAGAAUCCGAAGCUGUUUAUGUCUAUCCUCGAAAAAGCUCUUUGAUUCUCGACCCGAUCGUCGUAUCGAAAUGAAUUUUACUCACAAAUUGAUGGUCCCUCGAUAGUAUUGCAUCAAUUCGGCUGUAGCCGCGUUUACCGAAAAAGCCUCGUCGAUUCUUAAUCGCGAGCAAGCAUUGGGAACGAACGAUUGCCGUUUCGUUUCGUUUCGUUUCCCUCGAGUUUCGAAUAUCGAUUACCAGACGGUGAACGGAUUUCCGUUGACUGCGGAGGGACAAGAGGAAUGCCGUUUGAAUCGCAUCGUGUCCGCGAUCGAUGCCAAGAAAAUCGCCGUUCCUUUUAAGCGUAGCCUUAAACAGUAUCCCUGUAUGUACGUUCAAAACACUUUCUCCUCUUUCUUUAGAAUUUUAACCCCUUCGGAUCUUCUUCGUUUCUCUGAUUAUAAAAUCCAAGGGGAUGAAAUUCCCAGACGUCUCUAACGAACCGUUUUCUUUUUCUCACAUUGACCGUGGAUUUAAUGAACCAUCGUUCGCUUACCCAUAUCCAGGUCGCGUUGGAUGCCGUACGACGAUGAAGAUUUCUGUUCGAAAGGCGAAAGAUCACCUGUGGCAUCGACGAUGACGACAAGAAACGCUCGAUUGCCUCGCUUCACGGACCUUUCUCCUCGUGUGUAGUUCUGAACUUCGAUGCUCUCGAAAAGUUUUCGAGGAAGUUGAAGCAAGGAAUUCACUGUCGUCGCUGAAGUUAUCGAAUUGACCCAUCGUCCAGGAAGGUUUUACGCUUCUUUCACGCGAACCUGACUGAAAGAGAAAAAUCAUGCUAUAUCUCCGCGGCUAACUAUACUCAAGAGGUACAAUCGCGGCGAAAAGAACGCAAACUAAAAUCAAAAUUAAAAUAUCUUCGUCGAGGUAUCCACCGACUCACCGGAUGAACAUUAAAGACCCCAGCGUCGACAAGCGUCCAUCGAAAAGGAACACGGUUACUGGGGCGUAUCGACGUCGUUGCUGCUCUCGUCGUUCUCCCUCUGGCAGGCCGAUUCCAGGUGUUUGUUCAGGUUGGACCGAUCGGCGAACGCCUUGCCGCAGUGGGCGCAACCGUAUGGUUUCUCCCCGGUGUGACUUCUGAGAUGACCUUGCAGUAACCAAGGCCUGGAGAACAUCUUGCCGCAGACGCCGCAACUGUGCGUCAACUUGUGUGUCAACACGUGCAUCGCCAGGGCGGGCAUGCUCACGUACGCCUUGCCACAGUGGAUGCACUUCUUCGCCGAUUGGGAGUCGAUGCUGCGAUGGGUUUGCUUGUGCCGCGAUAGGUUCGAGGAUGUUGCGUAUUGUUUACCUGGAAAAAGAUGAUACGGCGUCGCUGUACUCGAAGGAGGAGACGGCUCUCCCGGUGGCAAAUGAUGAAGCACGCUCAUCUGUUGUUCCGUGACUGUACUGGACGGCGAUCUGGGUGCGGUGAACGGUAACGCGGACGUCACCAUUGUCGUAUUCUCGACGCUGGAACCGAUGGACUCUGUUGCUGCUGGGAUAAUUAUUGAGGAGGAACCUGUGGUACAGGUAAUCACCGUCGUCGUCGUCGUCUCUGUCCGUGCGACGAUCGCUGGAGCUUCCGUCGCGACGAUGAUGGCAUUGCUCGAUGCGUUCGACGUGGAUGUCGCGUUCCCAUUGCUCGGCUCGUUUAGCCUCUCCCUGGAUACCUCUUGCUCCGCUGUUUUCCUUCCUGUCGUCGCUCUCGUUUCCUGGGACUGCGCGCUCAGUUUUACUUUUCAAGUACAGAUCCCUAGUGGCGUACUCCGAACUUGAAAGAAGAAAAUAAACUGAUGCAAGAAAAUAAUUGCCGAAGCCACGAGACUGUUGGAAACACGGCAAGAAGCAUCGAUCAAUCUUAACGCUUCGGGAGUAGCAAUUAAGCUCGAAAAGAGCGAGUUCUUGGUAGAGAACGAGAAGAAUCCCUCUCGUUCGCGAGAUUCAAUAAACCCGGCGACUGGAAUUUCGUUUGUAGCGGGAAAACUUUAUUCGGCAACCAGCGUAGACCGGCUACCGAGCCGUUUUUAUUUCUUCGAAAAGAAACGUAAUAGAAAGGUCGAGGAAAAGGGGGCGAAAAAGGAUUGUCAGCCCCUUCUUUUUUCUUUUUUUCUUUUUUUUCUUCUUUCUCCCCUUCGUUCACGAUAUUAACAAGUCACCUGACGAGUAGCGUGUAACUCGAUUUCUUAAUUUGACUUUUUAAUCGAGAUUUAACGAGCGAACACGAAAGACGAGGAACUCUAGCCGCUGUUGUAGACGUGGCAGUGAACGGUGUCGAAGCUGGUGGUUGAAAUGGCGCGGGCACGACGGCAUGGGGCGGGGGGGAUUAUGACGGCAAGCAUGUUGGAAAGGAGGUCAAAGGGGAUGAGUGGAUGGCUAAGGAAAGUGUACGACCGAGCGGAUAUAAAAUUUCACGAUAACUCGGUUAUGAAACUGCGCGUUUCGUUCGAGCAAGCACCGCUUCUGCCAGAGGACCACCAGCUCUUUUAGUCUUUUCAAAGCGCACCCAGUUGUUCCGUUGUUAUUCACCUGCGUUUAGUCACCGGAUGACUUUCAUUGUUGAAUUUAAAAUUGAUUAAAGAAAACGUUGAAAAUCAUUGUAAAAUUAUUCUCCUCCUAAUUAGAGAUUUACUUUUUUUGGUAAUUUGCUUUCGAUUGGCCUGGUUCGACUAGAAAGCUGGCGCAGUCGUGUGCAGGCAUUGUAACGAGUCUUAAGUGCGGUCUUUGUAGCUCCAUUAACGUCUCCGGCACAAGUUUCGCAUGACACUUUCUCAUUCACUCGAUUACGAACACGAGGCAUAAACCGAGCCUUACAAAACGGGGCCGUCGCUUGAAACGCCGCCACCGGCAACAACAAUUCAGACAAUUAAUGUAGCUUUGCCCCGCGACGAGUAAUGCGUUUACCGCGAAUUGCACCAAUGUACCUAGAAAUUGCCACCUCCGCCACGUUUCGCGUCUCCCCGUUUACAUUUUUCUUUAAGCACCAUCGUAUUUCUCUUUGCGAGUUUCAUUUUGAAAAAAUUGUAUUCACGAUCGUGCGCUUUUUAAAUUAUAUCUCAGUUAAUUAGAGAAGAUUGUUCGUUAAUAACGACGCGGUACUCUGUUUUAAUUCUGACCUCGUAUUAAACUGAAGAAUUUAAUUUUCGUUAUAAAUUAUUCGAGAUUUAUGAAAUAUUUUCGAGCAACGGCUGCAGAUGAUUUUUCGUUGGUUUUUCUUUGCUGCGACGAAACGCUCGCUCCUGCAGCGCGCCGACACGGGACGAACGAUAUAUGGCUAGAGGGUGAAUCAAUACCACGGACAUUCCGAACAAAUAGCAACAUUCGCAUUAAUUGAACGUAAUAGCUGCGGCUAAAAUAUUGAUCAUUAUUAUUCGCUCGGUAAGACUAAUAGCUCGAUAUCUUUCCGAUUUUUCUUUGCUAUGUAAGCAGCA